Molecule: ribosomal RNA, 479 nt
Filed under: uncultured bacterium
Lineage: Bacteria
Description: partial 16S ribosomal RNA
Rfam family: Bacterial small subunit ribosomal RNA
Source: RNAcentral
GAUGAACGCUAGCGGGAGGCCUAACACAUGCAAGCCGAGCGGUAUUUGUUCUUCGGAACAGAGAGAGCGGCGCACGGGUGCGGAACACGUGUGCAACCUGCCUUUAUCUGGGGGAUAGCCUUUCGAAAGGAAGAUUAAUACCCCAUAAUAUAUUGAGUGGCAUCAUUUGUUAUUGAAAACUCCGGUGGAUAGAGAUGGGCACGCGCAAGAUUAGAUAGUUGGUGAGGUAACGGCUCACCAAGUCAAUGAUCUUUAGGGGGCCUGAGAGGGUGAUUCCCCACACUGGUACUGAGACACGGACCAGACUCCUACGGGAGGCAGCAGUGAGGAAUAUUGGACAAUGGGUUAGCGCCUGAUCCAGCCAUCCCGCGUGAAGGACGACGGCCCUAUGGGUUGUAAACUUCUUUUGUAUAGGGAUAAACCUACUCUCGUGAGAGUAGCUGAAGGUACUAUACGAAUAAGCACCGGCUAACUCCGUG